AACGAACGCUGGCGGCAUGCCUAACACAUGCAAGUCGAACGAGACCUUCGGGUCUAGUGGCGCACGGGUGCGUAACGCGUGGGAACCUGCCCUUAGGUUCGGAAUAACUCCCCGAAAGGGGUGCUAAUACCGGAUAAUGUCUUCGGACCAAAGAUUUAUCGCCUUUGGAUGGGCCCGCGUUGGAUUAGCUAGUUGGUAGGGUAAAAGCCUACCAAGGCGACGAUCCAUAGCUGGUCUGAGAGGAUGAUCAGCCACACUGGGACUGAGACACGGCCCAGACUCCUCCGGGAGGCAGCAGUGGGGAAUAUUGGACCAUGGGCGAAAGCCUGAUCCAGCAAUGCCGCGUGAGUGAUGAAGGCCUUAGAGUUGUAAAGCUCUUUUAACCGGGAUGAUAAUGACAGUACCGGGAGAAUAAGCUCCGGCUAACUCCGUG
Molecule: ribosomal RNA, 433 nt
Filed under: uncultured bacterium
Lineage: Bacteria
Description: partial 16S ribosomal RNA
Rfam family: Bacterial small subunit ribosomal RNA
Source: RNAcentral